GAUGAACGCUGGCGGCGUGCCUAAUACAUGCAAGUCGAGCGAACGGACGAGAAGCUUUCUUCUCUGAUGUUAGCGGCGGACGGGUGAGUAACACGUGGAUAACCUACCUAUAAGACUGGGAUAACUUCGGGAAACCGUAGCUAAUACCGGAUAAUAUUUUGAACCGCAUGGUUCAAAAGUGAAAGACGGUCUUGCUGUCACUUAUAGAUGGAUCCGCGCUGCAUUAGCUAGUUGGUAAGGUAACGGCUUACCAAGGCAACGAUGCAUAGCCGACCUGAGAGGGUGAUCGGCCACACUGGAACUGAGACACGGUACAGACUCCUACGCGAGGCAGCAGUAGGGAAUCUUCCGCAAAGGGCGAAAGCCUGACGGAGCAACGCCGCGUGAGUGAUGAAGGUCUUCGGAUAGUAAAACUCUGUUAUUAGGGAAGAAUAUAUGUGUAAGUAACUGUGCACAUCUUGACGGUACCUAAUCAGAAAGCCACGGCUAACUCCGUG
Molecule: ribosomal RNA, 497 nt
Filed under: uncultured bacterium
Lineage: Bacteria
Description: partial 16S ribosomal RNA
Rfam family: Bacterial small subunit ribosomal RNA
Source: RNAcentral